This 215-nucleotide long non-coding RNA is filed under the name Gossypium raimondii (Peruvian cotton). RNAcentral's name for it is "long non-coding RNA (GRAI_LNC009330)". The record is from RNAcentral. Lineage: Eukaryota; Viridiplantae; Streptophyta; Magnoliopsida; Malvales; Malvaceae.
CCAACGUCACGUCAUCACCACCACGGUCACGUCACCACCACCACUUGCGCCGUCACCUGCAAAGAAACAACAAAACAAAGAAAAAAGAAGACAAACAACAGAAACAGUAGCCAAAAAUCGGCUAUAAAAAGCCGAAUAUGUACCCUUUUUUGCUUCUUCUUUGGGUUAGCAAUCUUAUGUAUCAAAAAAGAGAUUAGCAAAGAAAUAAAAAUUAA